ACAGGGUUUCUCUGAAUCACCUGACCUUGAGUUUGAAUAUUCAGACAGUGAUAAAUGGGCAGCAGAACUUUCAGAACUCUAUAGCUACACAGAGGGCCCUGAGCUUCACUUGAAUAGAAAAUGCUUUGAAGAAGAAUUCAAGACUCAUGGCACCAGGGAGACAAGACACCAACUUGGAGUCUCACUCGUGGCCGCAGAAAGACCCAUCUGUGUCCCUUACUGGAGAGUCCUCUUUCCCAGUUGCUUGCUUGGGAACAUGACCGGU
This is a long non-coding RNA of Stegostoma tigrinum, 265 nucleotides long. RefSeq lists it as uncharacterized. The transcript is spliced from 3 exons. The record is from RefSeq and is a predicted model, not a curated record. Lineage: Eukaryota; Metazoa; Chordata; Chondrichthyes; Orectolobiformes; Stegostomatidae.